This 245-nucleotide unclassified non-coding RNA is filed under the name uncultured fungus. RNAcentral describes it as "partial contains 5.8S ribosomal RNA, internal transcribed spacer 2, and large subunit ribosomal RNA". The stretch from base 1 to 52 matches the Rfam family "5.8S ribosomal RNA", at positions 103 to 154 of the family's 154-position model. The record is from RNAcentral. RNAcentral also lists the same sequence under 1 other name. Lineage: Eukaryota; Fungi.
AACGCACAUUGCGCCCGCCAGUAUUCUGGCGGGCAUGCCUGUCCGAGCGUCAUUUCAACCAUCAAGCCCUUGGCUUGUGUUGGGGCCCUGCGGCUGUCCGCAGGCCCUGAAAAUCAGUGGCGGGCUCGUUGUCAUACCGAGUGCAGUAGUAAUAUUCUCUCUGGUCUUACAGCGUGUUCUUGCCGUAAAACACCCCAAUUUCUAAGGUUGACCUCGGAUCAGGUAGGAAUACCCGCUGAACUUAA